UUUAUUGCUAAAUGGCUUUUCUCCCUUCGCCGAGUUAGCUGAAACCUUUGUGAAACGUGAAUGAAAAGACUAACAUGGCGAAAGAACACCGUACAUUGAAAGAGGAGUGCAUUUAUAUUGAGCGCUUAAACGAAAACUCGUUUCUCAUCAAGAAAGGCUUUGUCCCAAACAUGAAGGUUGAAGGUAUGUUAGAUAUAUAAACAAGCUGCUCGAAAAACUAAUGUUUGAUGAGCUGAAGCACUGGGCUGGAACUCAAGAGAUCAGUUGGACUACCAGAUGUUCAUUCUGGCUAUGGAUUUGCUAUUGGGAAUCUUUUCAACCAGGGGCUCUUGUUUUAAAGAUGCUGUGCCAUGGAUGGGGAGUGUCCUGUUACUAUUUGUAACAUCAGUGAAGUGAAUGGAAUGCUUCAGUUCUUCAAAUGCUGUAGCAAGCAAGAUUGUGAAUGUGUUAUAUACAGAGCGUUCCCAGAUCCUUCGCUGGUAGAAUGAAAAGGUUAUUGAUUGCUCCUAUAUCUCUCUAUGCGGAGAUUAGCAAUAACAGCAGAGACCAUACUCCCCAUGGCUGAGCCAUCUGUCUUUCAGAAACUGGUCCAAGGAGUAUGAGGUUUGAAGGGUCUGCGAUCUGACAAAUGAUUAUACUUCGUAUUAAGCGCUAGUGUCAUUAUCAAAUGAUCAUUUAAUCACGGCGUCUAAUGUGUUCAGUUUAAAUGAUAUUGGAAUACCUCCGAUUUUCCAA
This is a non-coding RNA of Pocillopora verrucosa, 735 nucleotides long. Lineage: Eukaryota; Metazoa; Cnidaria; Anthozoa; Scleractinia; Pocilloporidae. The record is from RefSeq and is a predicted model, not a curated record.